This is a long non-coding RNA of Macaca mulatta (Rhesus monkey), 1155 nucleotides long. NCBI's taxonomy places the organism in Eukaryota, Metazoa, Chordata, Mammalia, Primates, Cercopithecidae. The record is from Ensembl.
AUGAGAUUCUCAGAUGUAUCAUGGAAUUUGUCAAGGAAGAAUUCUGUGCUUAAGGAUCUUCGUCUACAAGCCAUGCCUAAAAUAUUCACAGGAUUUUCUCUGAUCAAAUACUUCAAGUUUUUUCAGAACAAUGAAACGAAGAAAACAUAAAAAUAAAGAAUCGGCAUAUGAAUCUGGGUCAUCUCUCCAACCCAUAGGAUUUUGGGUUCCCUACACUGAUGGUAUCUUUUUAGGAUCUGGUGGCAAGAAUCAACAAAUACCCUAGAUGCCUUGGUGUGGCACAUAAUGUGCCAGAUGGUGGGAAGUAUUCCCCAUGAAAAUUUGAGCGCCUGCCACCAUGGUGAAGUUUCUAAGUUGUCAGUGGUCUAUGCCACAUUCACUCAUUCUCUACAAGGUGGAAGUUAAGUUUCUACACCUUACACGCCCCUGCCAUUGAGGAAAAGCCCCUUUAGAGUCUGCAGGCAACAUGCCUUCCCACCAUUCCUAAAGCCUGUACCUGUGAUCUCAUGGGAAGUUUUCUAUAACCAGCUCUAUGAGAAAGCAAAAAAUGUAAGGCUGGUUUACACAUUAAAAAUGGAUUUUCAAAGUAAGAGCUAUACAACUAUAACAUAACAACUCCACUCACUGGGGUCCUAGAAGACAGUAGGGGCAGAAACUUGAGCAGUGCACUUCAAUGGUAGUGGAGAUGACUAGACAUAUGGAUACAUACCCAACAAUGAAUGAUCUCAAUAGAUUUUCUGAAUAAUAAUAAACAUGAAAGGAAACUGACUUGAGGAUCAGUGACAAGGUAUUCAGAGGAAGAAGUAAAUGGGAAAUCAGCAAAAGACCUCUUGGGUCAUUACUUAGUGCAAAUAUAUUUGUAUCUCACAUAUACACUGCCUUGGCACAGGGCAUACACUGCAGAGGAGUCUCGAUAAUCACACAGACAAGGUGACCUGGUGGAUGUUGAAAGUCAGUCUGUCUUAAUGCUUUUUUGUUUUCAGAGGCAGGGUCUUGCUCUGUUUCCCAGGCUGGAGUGCAGUGGUAUGACUGUAGCUCAGUGCAGCCUCAAACUCCUGGGCUCAAGCAAUCCUGCUACCUCAGCCUCCUGAGUAGCUAGGACUACAGGGGUAAGUGCCACCAUGCCUGGCUUUUUUAUUUUUUUUAAAGAUUUUC